CCGGUUGUAGCUCAGUGGAUAGAGUGCUUCCCUCCGAAGGAAGAUGUCGGAGGUUCGAAUCCUCUCAGCCGGGCCA
RNAcentral lists this transfer RNA (76 nucleotides) under Coleofasciculus sp. LEGE 07081. RNAcentral describes it as "tRNA-Arg". It matches the Rfam family "tRNA". From Rfam's summary of the family: Transfer RNA (tRNA) molecules are approximately 80 nucleotides in length. Their secondary structure includes four short double-helical elements and three loops (D, anti-codon, and T loops). Further hydrogen bonds mediate the characteristic L-shaped molecular structure. tRNAs have two regions of fundamental functional importance: the anti-codon, which is responsible for specific mRNA codon recognition, and the 3' end, to which the tRNAs corresponding amino acid is attached (by aminoacyl-tRNA synthetases). tRNAs cope with the degeneracy of the genetic code in two manners: having more than one tRNA (with a specific anti-codon) for a particular amino acid; and 'wobble' base-pairing, i.e. permitting non-standard base-pairing at the 3rd anti-codon position. Lineage: Bacteria; Bacillati; Cyanobacteriota; Cyanophyceae; Coleofasciculales; Coleofasciculaceae. The record is from RNAcentral.